This is a long non-coding RNA of Dunckerocampus dactyliophorus (ringed pipefish), 3510 nucleotides long. RefSeq lists it as uncharacterized. Lineage: Eukaryota; Metazoa; Chordata; Actinopteri; Syngnathiformes; Syngnathidae. The record is from RefSeq and is a predicted model, not a curated record. The transcript has 3 exons.
GAUAGAGCAAAAGAAAAGAGCUAUAAAAUGACGGAGAAGCUACAGUCAUGGAAACACAGAAAUGUGACUAGGAACCCCAUAUCAGACCAGGCUACCAUGCUGAGUGGACUGCCUAACCCCGAUGGCACCACCCUGGCUCACCAAGGCCCCCUCAGCCAUGACAAAACCCAACCAGUCCUGCACUUCUAGUGGGUCAAGAUCAGAGGAACCUGAGCGGUGCCAACAACUGGUCUAGAUGCAACGAUCUACGGCUCACGACAGAUCCUUAGUGUGAGUUUGGUCCGAGUGGACUGUUGUUGUCUGUCAGUCAGGCCAGGAAGGCCAACUGCUGUCUGCUCCAAUUACAGCCUACAAGGCGGAGGGGAGAGUAUGUGUCACCCCCACACCCUUUCAGGCCCACAGCUGCUGUGUUCUGUGAUGCUGUGCGUCGCCGAUUGGCUCAUGUAUUCAUGUACGGUGAAUGUCUGCAAAUUUGUGAUUCAGCAUUCAGGGUACCACAAACUUGCCGAUAUUUUGUGAGGCGAAAAAAAAAACAAUUACGGAAAAUUUGUGCUUUUUUUUCUCAGAAAAUAGGCCAUUGUUUGGCAGACAACACAUCUAAUUCGUCCUAAACUGAUCAUAUUUUACAAAAUUGUGAUAAUACAGCAUAAAAUGCACAGCAUAAUAAUACAGCAUACAGGAUAGCAUAUAUGUUACGAUGUAACGACGAUGGCAGGCCUGUGUGGCUACAAAAACACUAGCUUUGACAGUCAGCUUUGUUGCAGUCCGGCCUCAAAACUUGCAGCGAGGUGAACACAAAUUAAUAUAUGAUCAUAAGUCGUUUACGGUGUGGAGAAACGCCUUCUUGGACUGCUCGGACGAGCAGGAUAACCCAGUGGGCUGUGGAAUAGCGGAAUCGUGUACCAGAGCUAGCCGCUUUAGAGGGAGAUGAAGGCAGCCCCACAAUAGACAGAAGCGUGGUUGUAGCGCUAGCCUGACGACCAGGCUAAGUGCUAGACUGUGACUCUGAUUCUGUCCGUUCUAUCGAUUACCGUACAUUAUCGUUCAUUAGUGGUAAGUACCUCAUGUAAAAUGUGUUUAAUAAGUGUGUGAGGCGUAUUAUAAGUCUUAAACCUGCAAUAGGCUUCAAUGCAUUUAGCUUGUUAGCUUUCUUUGUCAUGAGAGAUCAAUUGAAGAGAGACAGGGGAUGAAUCUAAUAAUUAAAACAGUCGCUUUUAUUGCAAAUGUUGAUCCAGAAUUGGAGGAUAACGUCAACAUCAAGUUAGCAGGAGGUUUUGGAGGAGAAGGAGCAAGCCAUUGUAGCGUACUGUGGCGCCGAAGCAACGCAACAGCAUAAUCCAGGCUUUUUUAGAGUGUAAAAAUAGACAUUUUUAUGGCCGUCUCAAUGACUCACGUUUAUUUGCCAUUCCCGAGUGAUGUUGAACUGUAACCCCCGCGAACAGCGAGUAUCUACUGUACAAACAGCUUAUACUUUUGAAGCCAUAACAACUACUUAUCGAGGAAGUGCUUUUUUCCAAGAGUGUGUGAAUUUUGGAGCAAUUGUGAGGUCAGAGGACCUUGCUUUCAUGCCGUGCUGGAUGGGCCUUCGCCAAAAUAGACAGCCAUGGAACAAAUGAUUGAUGUGCCGCUUAGCGGUGAGCAACAACACACCACCAUCAUUUAUGAUCCACUCUCACCGCCAUUUGGUCCUCGGCCAAUUUAAUUCCCAUAGAAGCAAAGUGUUAACAGCGAGCUGCAUCAACAAUAGAUCACUUGAGUUUUUAUCGGCCGCGUUGAGUGGGAUUGUUUUCCUGGGAUUAGGCGCAUCAGCAACAAGUGAGAGAUGGCAAAGUGUUGACGUUAUUAGUGUAAAAUCAAUCUGAUGGUGCUAAGGAUCCACAGUUAAUUAAAUUAAGAAGGCAUCCGCCUAAUUGAAUUUGUUUUUUAGUCAUUUUCUUGAUUGACUAAAUGUUAAAUUAACCUGUUCUGUGUCAGAACAACAUUGGAUCUUAAAGGAUGGCUGACCCAAGAUGGUUGGGGUCAACUCUGUCCCAAUACAGGGUCUACUGUCGUCCCUUGCUACACUGCGGUUUGAAGAUCGCUCCCUCACUCUUUUUUAAAAAUUAAUUAAUUCAUAAUUGAUUGCUGCUUGGUGAUUGACUGUAGUCUAUUAUUUGUAUAAAAAAGACAAGUUAUAUGUAGUAUUCUGGUCAGUAGGCGUCAGUAAUGUUACAUUGAUGAGACAUGGCAUUAGAUUACAUUACCUCCACACUGCAUGGACUCAGCCAUGGCAAGUCGGACAUGAUAGAAUAAAAAUGUUCUCUCUCUAACAUUCCGUCUGUAAGUGGUACGUUUUUGGCUGAAAUUCACUCAGCGUGAGUUUGAUUGAUCGACCAAUAAGCGGACAGGAUGCUAAUCGGUACGCAAUACUUGCCGUGUCAGAUUUCCUGGAGCUAUUUGACCUUUCUAAACAAAUAAUAUUGAGAAGAAAUAUAAUAUAAAGAAAAAAGCAGCGGCUUGGGAACUCGGCGCCAGGGUAAACAUAUCGGGUAAGUUUACAUGAAUUUUCAUGGACAUUUAUGUAAGUUUAUCUUCAACACUAGCAAGAUCCGAUACCAGCAGGAGCCCUCGAUCAACAUUGGCCGCUUUUCCUUCUCUGAACUACUUUGAUACCCCGAAAUUCCCUCCAUAUCUGACAGCCAAUCGAACCGUGGGAGACUCGUACAACUCUCUCUGGAUGUGAAUGCGUCGCCCACCUGUGUAGCUGGUCACAAUCGCUUGUCGCCUCCCGUGCGCAUGGUUUCAUACGCGAUGGCGAUGAAUUUUGCCAAUCGCGGUCGUUUGUCGCCUCCUGUGUGUGGUGCCCAAAAUUGUGUGACUAUAACUCCAUCAGACUGUAUGGCUCUUUUAUCUUGUAGGUGUGUAUUUCUAUUUAUAUGGGAUGUGUAUUGUAUGUGAAUGUGAUAACAAUGUGUAAUGGGCUGUAGAGUGAUUAUUGGUUUCCAUUUAUAGCGACUACUGAUUGAGAUAAGGGAUGAUAUAAAAUAGAUCCCGAACCUUAACCUGGUCUGGAGCAGGCUAACUCCACAGAAUAAAUCUCCAUGGUAACUUACGUCAGAACAUAUCCCACUUUCCACUACCCCACUUUUGUGCAACUGGAUCACGGGUAAAUUAAGCCAGGAUAACCAAGAUAUCCCUUAUCUUGGUUUUGUUCAAAAGGCCCCUGGUUGUCAUGCGUUCACAUCGUCACGCUUCUUGAAAUACUGAUGACCACGUCCGCAAAGAAGAGAAAAAGUAAAAAGCAAAGGCUGAAUACAGUAAAAUAUUUUUGAUUUAUUUUUAUUUGUGUGGAAAAGCAGAUUUACCUCCAGCUCAGAGAGGACCAGCGGUAAACGUUUUAUUUUUUUUUAACCUUAUUAAUAUUAAAUUACUUGAUUGAUGAGUUUGGAGCUACUUAGCCCAUUUGUACAGUGCUUUGAUCAUUAUAGUUAUUUUGAAAUGAGCUUUAUAUGUACAGUAGAUUUGAGCCAU